Molecule: ribosomal RNA, 1248 nt
Filed under: Sitophilus oryzae (rice weevil)
Lineage: Eukaryota; Metazoa; Arthropoda; Insecta; Coleoptera; Curculionidae
Description: SSU rRNA
Rfam family: Eukaryotic small subunit ribosomal RNA
Source: RNAcentral
GAGAGGGAGCCUGAGAAACGGCUACCACAUCCAAGGAAGGCAGCAGGCGCGCAAAUUACCCACUCCCGGCACGGGGAGGUAGUGACGAAAAAUAACGAUACGGGACUCAUCCGAGGCCCCGUAAUCGGAAUGAGUACACUCUAAACCCUUUAACGAGGAUCAAUUGGAGGGCAAGUCUGGUGCCAGCAGCCGCGGUAAUUCCAGCUCCAAUAGCGUAUAUUAAAGUUGUUGCGGUUAAAAAGCUCGUAGUCGAAUUUGUGUCUCGCGCCGUCGGUUCAUCGUCCGCGGUGUUAACUGGCGUGAAGCGAGACGUCCUGCCGGUGGAUUUAGCCGUUGGCCGAUUUCGAUUCGCGGGAGCUUCGGCGAACGCGCGUUGGCGGUCCAGCGGCGGUCCAACUCAAUCCUGCCGCGGUGCUCUUCACUGAGUGUCGAGGUGGGCCGGCACGUUUACUUUGAACAAAUUAGAGUGCUUAAAGCAGGCUAAAAUUUCGCCUGAAUAUUGUGUGCAUGGAAUAAUGGAAUAGGACCUCGGUUCUAUUUUGUUGGUUUUCGGAACCCCGAGGUAAUGAUUAAUAGGAACGGAUGGGGGCAUUCGUAUUGCGACGUUAGAGGUGAAAUUCUUGGAUCGUCGCAAGACGAACGGAAGCGAAAGCAUUUGCCAAAAACGCUUUCAUUGAUCAAGAACGAAAGUUAGAGGUUCGAAGGCGAUCAGAUACCGCCCUAGUUCUAACCAUAAACGAUGCCAGCUAGCGAUCCGUCGACGUUCCUCCGAUGACUCGACGGGCAGCUUCCGGGAAACCAAAGCUUUUGGGUUCCGGGGGAAGUAUGGUUGCAAAGCUGAAACUUAAAGGAAUUGACGGAAGGGCACCACCAGGAGUGGAGCCUGCGGCUUAAUUUGACUCAACACGGGAAACCUCACCAGGCCCGGACACCGGAAGGAUUGACAGAUUGAGAGCUCUUUCUUGAUUCGGUGGGUGGUGGUGCAUGGCCGUUCUUAGUUGGUGGAGCGAUUUGUCUGGUUAAUUCCGAUAACGAACGAGACUCUAGCCUGCUAACUAGGCGCUAAUUUUGACAUCGCAAAGGCCCGCCGGCCGUCGUUUCGGGAGCCCCGUGCGUUCACGCGUAUCGGGUCUUUUCGUUUGCGGCGCGUCGCGCGCGGUUUUUACUGUCGGCGUACAAACAUAUCUUCUUAGAGGGACAGGCGGCUUCUAGCCGCACGAGAUUGAGCAAUAACAGGUCUGUGAUGCC